GCUGGGUGCGGUGGCUCAUGCCUGUAAUCCCAGCACUUUGGGAGGCUGAGGCGGGUGGAUCACCUGAGGCCAGGAGUUUGAGACCAGCCUGGCCAACAUGGUGAAAACCCGUCUCUA
RNAcentral lists this small RNA (117 nucleotides) under Macaca fascicularis (crab-eating macaque). RNAcentral's name for it is "Metazoan signal recognition particle RNA (ENSMFAG00000063029.1)". The record is from Rfam by way of RNAcentral. Lineage: Eukaryota; Metazoa; Chordata; Mammalia; Primates; Cercopithecidae. RNAcentral also lists the same sequence under 1 other name.